CCUACGGGCGGCAGCAGUGGGGAAUAUUGCACAAUGGGCGCAAGCCUGAUGCAGCCAUGCCGCGUGUGUGAAGAGGGCCUUCGGGUUGUAAAGCACUUUCAGCGGGGAGGAAGGCGUUAAGGUUAAUAACCUUGUCGAUUGACGUUACCCGCAGAAGAAGCACCGGCUAACUCCGUGCCAGCAGCCGCGGUAAUACGGAGGGUGCAAGCGUUAAUCGGAAUUACUGGGCGUAAAGCGCACGCAGGCGGUCUGUCAAGUCGGAUGUGAAAUCCCCGGGCUCAACCUGGGAACUGCAUUCGAAACUGGCAGGCUAGAGUCUUGUAGAGGGGGGUAGAAUUCCAGGUGUAGCGGUGAAAUGCGUAGAGAUCUGGAGGAAUACCGGUGGCGAAGGCGGCCCCCUGGACAAAGACUGACGCUCAGGUGCGAAAGCGUGGGGAGCAAACAGGAUUAGAUACCCUAGUAGUC
This 465-nucleotide ribosomal RNA is filed under the name uncultured Klebsiella sp. RNAcentral describes it as "bacterial SSU rRNA". It matches the Rfam family "Bacterial small subunit ribosomal RNA", at positions 338 to 795 of the family's 1533-position model. The record is from RNAcentral. Lineage: Bacteria; Pseudomonadati; Pseudomonadota; Gammaproteobacteria; Enterobacterales; Enterobacteriaceae.